UGGUGGGGUGAUUUGUCUGGUUUAUUCCGUUAACGAACGAGACCUCUGCCUGCUAAUUAGUUGCGCUCUUGCUUCUGCAAGGGUCUGCUUGACUUCUUAGAGGGACACUUGGUGUUUAACCAAGGGAAGUUAGAGGCAAUAACA
Molecule: ribosomal RNA, 144 nt
Filed under: uncultured eukaryote
Lineage: Eukaryota
Description: partial 18S ribosomal RNA
Rfam family: Eukaryotic small subunit ribosomal RNA
Source: RNAcentral